CCUACGGGAGGCUGCAGUGAGGAAUAUUGGUCAAUGGACGAGAGUCUGAACCAGCCAAGUAGCGUGAAGGAUGACUGCCCUAUGGGUUGUAAACUUCUUUUAUAUGGGAAUAAAAUGUUCCACGUGUGGGAUUUUGUAUGUACCAUAUGAAUAAGGAUCGGCUAACUCCGUGCCAGCAGCCGCGGUAAUACGGAGGAACCGAGCGUUAUCCGGAUUUAUUGGGUUUAAAGGGAGCGUAGGUGGAUUGUUAAGUCAGUUGUGAAAGUUUGCGGCUCAACCGUAAAAUUGCAGUUGAAACUGGCAGUCGUGAGUACAGUAGAGGUAGGCGGAAUUCGUGGUGUAGCGGUGAAAUGCUUAGAUAUCACGAAGAACUCCGAUUGCGAAGGCAGCUCACUGGACUGCAACUGACACUGAGGCUCGAAAGUGUGGGUAUCAAACAGGAUUAGAUACCCUGGUAGUC
RNAcentral lists this ribosomal RNA (460 nucleotides) under uncultured bacterium. Its description in RNAcentral is "partial 16S ribosomal RNA". It matches the Rfam family "Bacterial small subunit ribosomal RNA", at positions 338 to 795 of the family's 1533-position model. The record is from RNAcentral.